GAUCCUGGCUCAGGAUGAACGCUAGCUACAGGCUUAACACAUGCAAGUCGAGGGGGCAGCAUUUUAGUUUGCUUGCAAACUAAAGAUGGCGACCGGCGCACGGGUGAGUAACACGUAUCCAACCUGCCGAUAACUCUGGGAUAGCCUUUCGAAAGAAAGAUUAAUACCGGAUGGCAUAGGAUUAUCGCAUGAUAAUCCUAUUAAAGAAUUUCGGUUAUCGAUGGGGAUGCGUUCCAUUAGG
Molecule: ribosomal RNA, 241 nt
Filed under: uncultured bacterium
Lineage: Bacteria
Description: partial 16S ribosomal RNA
Rfam family: Bacterial small subunit ribosomal RNA
Source: RNAcentral